This 253-nucleotide ribosomal RNA is filed under the name uncultured bacterium. RNAcentral describes it as "partial 16S ribosomal RNA". It matches the Rfam family "Bacterial small subunit ribosomal RNA", at positions 524 to 776 of the family's 1533-position model. The record is from RNAcentral.
UACGUAGGGGGCAAGCGUUGUCCGGAAUCAUUGGGCGUAAAGAGCGUGUAGGCGGCCCGAUAAGUCCGCCGUGAAAGUCCAGGGCUCAACCCUCGGAUGCCGGUGGAUACUGUCGGGCUUGAGUACGGAAGAGGCGAGUGGAAUUCCUGGUGUAGCGGUGAAAUGCGCAGAUAUCAGGAGGAACACCAAUUGCGAAGGCAGCUCGCUGGGACGUUACUGACGCUGAGACGCGAAAGCGUGGGGAGCAAACAGG